RNAcentral lists this ribosomal RNA (324 nucleotides) under uncultured eukaryote. RNAcentral describes it as "partial 18S ribosomal RNA". It matches the Rfam family "Eukaryotic small subunit ribosomal RNA", at positions 1470 to 1796 of the family's 1831-position model. The record is from RNAcentral.
CCCUUAGAUGUCCUGGGCUGCACGCGCGCUACACUGAUGUGUCCAGUAAGCACCUAACCUCUUCCGAAAGGAACGGGUAACCUUUGCAAAGCACAUCGUGAUGGGGAUAGAUUAUUGCUAUUAUUAGUCUUGAACGAGGAAUUCCUAGUAAGCACAAGUCAUCAGCUUGUGUUGAUUACGUCCCUGCCCUUUGUACACACCGCCCGUCGCUCCUACCGAUUGAAUGUUCCGGUGAGCUCUUCGGACUGCGCGGUCUGCAGUUUCUGCGUUCCGUGCGGAAAGUUGCGCAAACCUUAACAUUUAGAGGAAGGAGAAGUCGUAACA